This 628-nucleotide ribosomal RNA is filed under the name Chaetothyriales sp. RNAcentral describes it as "bacterial SSU rRNA". It matches the Rfam family "Bacterial small subunit ribosomal RNA", at positions 546 to 1208 of the family's 1533-position model. The record is from RNAcentral. Lineage: Eukaryota; Fungi; Ascomycota; Eurotiomycetes; Chaetothyriales.
CAUCUUUAAUCGGUUUAAAGGGUACCUAGACGGAAAAUCAAGCUUAAUUAAACUAAGGACUAGUUUUCUAGAGUUUGACAUGAGAAGGUACGAACUAUCAGAGGAGAGAUAAAAUUUGUUGAUACUGGUGGGACGGACAACGGCGAAGGCAAUCUUCUACUAAAAACUGACGUUGAGGGACGAAGCCUUGGGGAGCGAGAAGGAUUAGAUACCCUAGUAGUCCUUGGAGAAAAUUAUGAGUGCCAUAGACUAAAGUGAAAAAGAAGUUCUUUUAAAAGAACUUUGUAUCUGAGCCUUAAUUGGAUACAAAGGUCUCGAGUAGCAGUUUAUAAAUGAAAGUGUAAGCAUUCCACCUCAUGACUAAAGCGGCAACGCCCAAAUUGAAAUCAUUAGACCGUUUCUGAAACCAGUAGUGAAGUAUGUUAUUUAAUUCGAUAACCCGCGAAUAACCUUACCACGUUUUGAAUUUAUUAAACAAGUGUUGCACGGCUGUCUUCAGUUAAUGUCGUGAGAUUUUGGUUUGUUCCAUUAAUUAACGAAAACCCUUGUUUCAUUUUUAUAUGAAAUAGUUCACCGUUAUAUUGGAAAGAUAAAAGGGAUCAAGACAAGUCAUCAUGGCCUUAAUAAC